This 468-nucleotide ribosomal RNA is filed under the name uncultured bacterium. RNAcentral describes it as "partial 16S ribosomal RNA". It matches the Rfam family "Bacterial small subunit ribosomal RNA", at positions 28 to 507 of the family's 1533-position model. The record is from RNAcentral.
GAUGAACGCUGGCGGCGUGCUUAACACAUGCAAGUCGAACGGAAAGGCCCUGCCUUUGUGGGGUACUCGAGUGGCGAACGGGUGAGUAACACGUGAGUAACCUGCCCUUGACUUUGGGAUAACUUUAGGAAACUGGGGCUAAUACCGGAUAGGAGGUCCUGCUGCAUGGCGGGGGGGGGAGAGUUUCGGCGGUUGGGGAUGGCCCCGCGGCUUAUCAGCUUGUUGGUGGGGUAGCGGCUUACCAAGGCUUCGACGGGUAGCCGGCCUGAGAGGGUGUCCGGCCACAUUGGGACUGAGAUACGGCCCAGACUCCUACGGGAGGCAGCAGUGGGGAAUAUUGCACAAUGGGCGGAAGCCUGAUGCAGCGACGCAGCGUGGGGGAUGACGGCCUUCGGGUUGUAAACCGCUUUCGCCUGUGACGAAGCGUGAGUGACGGUAAUGGGAAAAGAAGCACCGGCUAACUACGUG